RNAcentral lists this ribosomal RNA (253 nucleotides) under uncultured bacterium. RNAcentral's name for it is "partial 16S ribosomal RNA". It matches the Rfam family "Bacterial small subunit ribosomal RNA", at positions 524 to 776 of the family's 1533-position model. The record is from RNAcentral.
UACGUAGGGGGCAAGCGUUGUUCGGAAUUACUGGGCGUAAAGAGCGCGCAGGCGGUCGAUCAAGUCGAGUGUGAAAGCCCCCGGCUCAACUGGGGAGGGUCAUUCGAUACUGAUCGACUCGAAGGCAGGAGAGGGUAGUGGAAUUCCCGGUGUAGUGGUGAAAUGCGUAGAUAUCGGGAGGAACACCAGUGGCGAAGGCGACUACCUGGCCUGUUCUUGACGCUGAGGCGCGAAAGCUAGGGGAGCAAACGGG